This 285-nucleotide signal recognition particle RNA is filed under the name Papio anubis (olive baboon). RNAcentral describes it as "Metazoan signal recognition particle RNA (ENSPANG00000042443.1)". It matches the Rfam family "Metazoan signal recognition particle RNA". From Rfam's summary of the family: The signal recognition particle (SRP) is a universally conserved ribonucleoprotein. It is involved in the co-translational targeting of proteins to membranes. Lineage: Eukaryota; Metazoa; Chordata; Mammalia; Primates; Cercopithecidae. The record is from RNAcentral.
GCCGGGUGUGGUGGCGUGUGCCUGUAAUCCCAGCUACUUGGGAGGCUGAGGCGGGAGAAUGGCGUGAACCUGGGAGGCAGAGCUUGCAGUGAGCCGAGAUUGCGCCACUGCACUCCAGCCUGGGUGACAGAGUGAGACUCCGUCUCAAAAAAAAAAAAAAAAAAAAUUUGAUUUUUUUUUUUUUUUUAGACAGUCUUACUCUGUCACCCAGGCUGGAGUGCAGUGGCACAAUCUCAGCUCACUGUAACCUCUGCCUCCCAGGUUCACGCCAUUCUCCUGCCUCAG